Molecule: transfer-messenger RNA, 341 nt
Filed under: Deltaproteobacteria bacterium
Lineage: Bacteria; Pseudomonadati; Myxococcota; Myxococcia
Description: partial transfer-messenger RNA
Rfam family: transfer-messenger RNA
About the family: Bacterial tmRNA, also known as 10Sa RNA or SsrA, is named for its dual tRNA and mRNA-like properties. Its role is to liberate the mRNA from a stalled ribosome. To accomplish this part of the tmRNA is used as a reading frame that ends in a translation stop signal.
Source: RNAcentral
GCUUCGACGGGGAUAAAGAAGCUUAGGUUGCGUACCGAGGUUCUGUUUGCUCGUUAAACAGGCAGAAAAAAAAUAAACGCAGACGAUUAUGCGUAUGCAUUAGCCGCUUAAAGGCUAACGUCCAGCCGACCUUUCCUGCGAGGAUGGAUUUGGGCGUCGACUAGCAGGAUAGCUAACCUGAGAGACCUGAAUUUCAGGAAGGCGAAAAUUUUUUCAGGUUAGUCCCUUAUUCACCUUGCCCGAAAGGGGUCUCAGGGGCGAACAUUAAAGUUCGGGCUAUGUAUGUAGAGGCUUAAGUGGAAUAUUUUCGGACGGGGGUUCGACUCCCCCCGCCUCCACCA